Molecule: ribosomal RNA, 332 nt
Filed under: uncultured bacterium
Lineage: Bacteria
Description: bacterial SSU rRNA
Rfam family: Bacterial small subunit ribosomal RNA
Source: RNAcentral
GGGAUGACGUCAAAUCAUCAUGCCCCUUAUGGGCAGGGCUACACACGUGCUACAAUGGCGUAAACAAAGGGAGGCAGAGCCGCGAGGCCGAGCAAAUCUCAAAAAUAACGUCUCAGUUCGGAUUGUAGUCUGCAACUCGACUACAUGAAGCUGGAAUCGCUAGUAAUCGCGAAUCAGAAUGUCGCGGUGAAUACGUUCCCGGGUCUUGUACACACCGCCCGUCACACCAUGGGAGUCAGUAACGCCCGAAGUCAGUGACCCAACCGCAAGGAGGGAGCUGCCGAAGGCGGGACCGAUAACUGGGGUGAAGUCGUAACAAGGUAGCCUCAGUC